RNAcentral lists this ribosomal RNA (313 nucleotides) under Corallomycetella repens. Its description in RNAcentral is "eukaryotic LSU rRNA". It matches the Rfam family "Eukaryotic large subunit ribosomal RNA", at positions 1 to 316 of the family's 3401-position model. The record is from RNAcentral. Lineage: Eukaryota; Fungi; Ascomycota; Sordariomycetes; Hypocreales; Nectriaceae.
UGACCUCGGAUCAGGUAGGAAUACCCGCUGAACUUAAGCAUAUCAAUAAGCGGAGGAAAAGAAACCAACAGGGAUUGCCUCAGUAACGGCGAGUGAAGCGGCAACAGCUCAAAUUUGAAAUCUGGCCGCAAGGUCCGAGUUGUAAUUUGUAGAGGAUGCUUUUGGCGAGGUGCCUUCCGAGUUCCCUGGAACGGGACGCCAUAGAGGGUGAGAGCCCCGUACGGUAGGACCACCAAGCCUCUGUAAAGCUCCUUCGACGAGUCGAGUAGUUUGGGAAUGCUGCUCUAAAUGGGAGGUGUACGUCUUCUAAAGC